GAAGGAAUCUCCUGCGUAGGCAGAGGAAAGAGACGAUUCGCGAUGAGCUGCAGACGCCCUGAUGGCCUGAGCCGCCAAGGAGGAAGACGAAUUAAAUGUUUGAGAAGAUUUUAACAUAUUACUCCUUUUAACGUCGUUGUUAUUGAUAUCAUCUUCUGGCUUGCGAUAUAUCUCUUCUUUGAAGGUGGAAGCCCUCGUGAUUCCCUGC
This 208-nucleotide unclassified non-coding RNA is filed under the name Hevea brasiliensis (rubber tree). The record is from RNAcentral. Lineage: Eukaryota; Viridiplantae; Streptophyta; Magnoliopsida; Malpighiales; Euphorbiaceae.